AUCCGGUGUGUCAAAAGUCAGUAUCAAGAAAAACAGAAGAGAAACGAAUUGACUUAACAGAAAUAUCAGAAAACUGGAUUUUGGUGGAAAAACAAAAGGAUCCAGAAAUAUUAGAAAUCAUCAAAUGUUUUGUAUAGAAAGAUGCAGAGAAAUUCAAAAACUCGUUGUUUACCUGUAGUUCCUCGUGUGUGCCGUUGGUCAAUUAUAAAUCAGGUACAUGAGUCUAUCAUGCAUCUAGGUUGGCAGAAAACGCUGGACAAGGUAUACGAUCAUUACUGGUUUUCUGGCAUGACAAAAUAUGUUUGAAGAUUUGUGGAGAACUGUAUUACAUGCAGAGUUUCUAAGGGUACGGCAGGAAACCCUCAAAUUGAAUUACACCCAAUUCCAAAAAUUAGCAUUCCUUGGCACACCGCCCACAUAGACAUAUCGGGAAAAUUGAGCGGAAAAAAUGAUCGUAAAGAAUGUAUCAUUGUACAAAUCGACGCUUUUACUAAUACGAAUACUUGCAUAAACGCAAUGAAA
Molecule: long non-coding RNA, 522 nt
Organism: Drosophila nasuta
Lineage: Eukaryota; Metazoa; Arthropoda; Insecta; Diptera; Drosophilidae
Exons: 2
Source: RefSeq, a predicted model, not a curated record